RNAcentral lists this small nuclear RNA (87 nucleotides) under Jaculus jaculus (lesser Egyptian jerboa). RNAcentral's name for it is "U4 spliceosomal RNA (ENSJJAG00000009401.1)". It matches the Rfam family "U4 spliceosomal RNA", at positions 1 to 85 of the family's 138-position model. Rfam says of the family: U4 small nuclear RNA (U4 snRNA) is a component of the major U2-dependent spliceosome. The structure of U4 snRNA from yeast and human has been reported. Lineage: Eukaryota; Metazoa; Chordata; Mammalia; Rodentia; Dipodidae. The record is from RNAcentral.
AGCUUUGCACAGUGGCGGUAUCCUAGCCAAUGAGGUUUAUCUGAGGCAUAAUUAUUGCUAAUUGAAAAAUGGUGUGCCCAUUAUCUC